This 1113-nucleotide unclassified non-coding RNA is filed under the name Ilyonectria destructans. RNAcentral's name for it is "sequence contains ITS1 and ITS2". It matches the Rfam family "Eukaryotic large subunit ribosomal RNA", at positions 46 to 656 of the family's 3401-position model. Lineage: Eukaryota; Fungi; Ascomycota; Sordariomycetes; Hypocreales; Nectriaceae. The record is from RNAcentral.
AAAAGCGGAGGAAAAGAAACCAACAGGGAUUGCCCUAGUAACGGCGAGUGAAGCGGCAACAGCUCAAAUUUGAAAUCUGGCCCUCGGGUCCGAAUUGUAAUUUGUAGAGGAUGCUUUUGGUGAGGUACCUUCCGAGUUCCCUGGAACGGGACGCCAUAGAGGGUGAGAGCCCCGUCUGGUUGGAUACCGAUCCUCUGUAAAGCUCCUUCGACGAGUCGAGUAGUUUGGGAAUGCUGCUCUAAAUGGGAGGUAUAUGUCUUCUAAAGCUAAAUAUUGGCCAGAGACCGAUAGCGCACAAGUAGAGUGAUCGAAAGAUGAAAAGCACUUUGAAAAGAGAGUUAAAAAGUACGUGAAAUUGUUGAAAGGGAAGCGCUCAUGACCAGACUUGGGCUUGGUUGAUCAUCCAGGGUUCUCCCUGGUGCACUCUUCCAGCCCAGGCCAGCAUCAGUUCGCUGUGGGGGAUAAAGGCUUUGGGAAUGUGGCUCCUCCGGGAGUGUUAUAGCCCAUUGUGUAAUACCCUGUGGUGGACUGAGGUUCGCGCAUCUGCAAGGAUGCGGCGAUGCCUAGUACGGCGAGUGAAGCGGCAACAGCUCAAAUUUGAAAUCUGGCCCUCGGGUCCGAAUUGUAAUUUGUAGAGGAUGCUUUUGGUGAGGUACCUUCCGAGUUCCCUGGAACGGGACGCCAUAGAGGGUGAGAGCCCCGUCUGGUUGGAUACCGAUCCUCUGUAAAGCUCCUUCGACGAGUCGAGUAGUUUGGGAAUGCUGCUCUAAAUGGGAGGUAUAUGUCUUCUAAAGCUAAAUAUUGGCCAGAGACCGAUAGCGCACAAGUAGAGUGAUCGAAAGAUGAAAAGCACUUUGAAAAGAGAGUUAAAAAGUACGUGAAAUUGUUGAAAGGGAAGCGCUCAUGACCAGACUUGGGCUUGGUUGAUCAUCCAGGGUUCUCCCUGGUGCACUCUUCCAGCCCAGGCCAGCAUCAGUUCGCUGUGGGGGAUAAAGGCUUUGGGAAUGUGGCUCCUCCGGGAGUGUUAUAGCCCAUUGUGUAAUACCCUGUGGUGGACUGAGGUUCGCGCAUCUGCAAGGAUGCUGGCGUAAUGGUCAUCAGCGACCCGUCUUG